Small nucleolar RNA from Sphaerodactylus townsendi, 72 nucleotides. RefSeq annotates it as small nucleolar RNA SNORD2. The transcript has a single exon. The record is from RefSeq and is a predicted model, not a curated record. Lineage: Eukaryota; Metazoa; Chordata; Lepidosauria; Squamata; Sphaerodactylidae.
AAGUGAGAUGAUGGCAUACCAUCUUUCGGGACUGACCUGAAAUGGAGAGAAAUUCUUAACUGCUGAUCACUU